Molecule: ribosomal RNA, 122 nt
Filed under: Citrobacter freundii
Lineage: Bacteria; Pseudomonadati; Pseudomonadota; Gammaproteobacteria; Enterobacterales; Enterobacteriaceae
Description: partial 23S ribosomal RNA
Rfam family: Bacterial large subunit ribosomal RNA
Source: RNAcentral
CUUAAAGGGUCCUGAAGGAACGUUGAAGACGACGACGUUGAUAGGCCGGGUGUGUAAGCGCAGCGAUGCAUUGAGCUAACCGGUACUAAUGAACCGUGAGGCUUAACCUUACAACGCCGAAG